CCUACGGGGCGCAGCAGUGGGGGAUAUUGCACAAUGGGGGGAACCCUGAUGCAGCGACGCCGCGUGGGUGAAGGAGUGCUUCGGCAUGUAAAGCCCUAUCGGCAGGGAAGAAGCAAGACGGUACCUGACUAAGAAGCCCCGGCUAACUACGUGCCAGCAGCCGCGGUAAUACGUAGGGGGCGAGCGUUAUCCGGAUUCACUGGGUGUAAAGGGAGCGUAGAUGGCCAUGCAAGCCAGGGGUGAAAGCCCGGGGCCCAACCCCGGGACUGCCCUUGGAACUGUGCGGCUAGAGUGCGGGAGGGGCAGGCGGAAUUCCUGGUGGAGCGGUGAAAUGCGUAGAUAUCAGGAGGAACACCGGCGGCGAAGGCGGCCUGCUGGACUGCGACUGACGUUGAGGCUCGAAAGCGUGGGGAGCGAACAGGAUUAGAUACCCUAGUAGUC
This 441-nucleotide ribosomal RNA is filed under the name uncultured bacterium. Its description in RNAcentral is "partial 16S ribosomal RNA". It matches the Rfam family "Bacterial small subunit ribosomal RNA", at positions 338 to 795 of the family's 1533-position model. The record is from RNAcentral.